This is a long non-coding RNA of Cyprinodon tularosa, 267 nucleotides long. RefSeq lists it as uncharacterized. NCBI's taxonomy places the organism in Eukaryota, Metazoa, Chordata, Actinopteri, Cyprinodontiformes, Cyprinodontidae. The record is from RefSeq and is a predicted model, not a curated record. The transcript has 3 exons.
CUGGCCUCCCCCUGUGCUUCAGCCUCCCGCCCUGCCUUCCCCUAAAGUUGUGAAUAAAAGUAUUUGGGCAGGUCAUCAUCCCAGAAAAAUCUGGAGUCGGAUUGGUCUAUAUAAAUUAUUUUCUGACAACAUGAUGGACCUGGCCUCUAGGAAGAAGUCGGAGAGUGAGGUGAUCAAUACCUGUUCUUACUGGGCAGGCAGACUGGGGCAUUGAUUCUUAUCUCAUGACCUCGGUAUGGCAGGGGACUGUAAAAGGUCGGAAGAAGG